GAUUUUAUUCAAAACUAUUUUGAUUAAAGCCAUGGAUAUUAAUUUAUUUUUAUUUUUAUACCAUCCACUUGUUCUUAAGCUUAUCCUAUCAUUCUAAAUAUCCAAUUAUUCCUAUCCAAAUCUUUAACUUCCUCAUUAAGUAAUUUUUACUAUCUUCCUCUAUAAGCCAAGCUUAAGCUUUUCUUCACUCAAUCCUCUCACCUGCUCUCUCCCUACUCUCGUUCCAACACCAUACAAAAAAAAAAUCAAGUGCAAAGCUCCAUUUAGUAAACAACUGCAGAUUCAACACCAUACCUUUCUGCAGCAACAAAUUGAUUCUAGCCAUCACAAAUCAACAACACAACAGAAUUAUUUCUAAAGGUUAUUACCUCUACCUCAAACUAGAAAUCCCACACGCACAUCUAUUCCACCAUUCAUAUAUAUAUAUAUAUGUAUUAUAUGUAUGCAUAGCUCAGUCAACAAACUCAUGUAUUUGCUUAUUAGAAGCAACAAACUGAAGAUGCUUGAAUAUAAAUUUGUAUAUAUAUACAUAUACGAAACAUGAUUUGUUUUAACAAUGAAAGGAAAAGAAAGGUAGAGUCUUAAAUUCUUGUUUUUGCUUUUGAACUGGUGUUGUGUGUGUGUUGGGCUGGAUCGUGAGAGAGAUGCGAGACAGAGGGAGGUCGCGGCACGGCGGCUCUGCCCGCUGCUGUCGAGCCGAGGACGAAGAGAGAUAGGGAUGCAGGAGCUAAGGGGGUGGCGGUGGUUAGCUCGGCUAGCUGCUACGGCCGUCGGACUUCGGAGUGAGGCGACGGCGGGGUUGUGAGGGGAACCCGGUGAAGGCGGCGUCCUUCAUCGACUGGAGGCGACGCGGAGGCGCGUUCGCCGGAGGUCGAAAGGGAGUGGAGGGUGCGGCGGCAGUCUGCUUCUUCUGCUGCUGUCGGCCAAUUUGAGUGAGGAGGGAGGUAGUUCAGGCGGCGGCGGCGGCUGGUCUGGUGCAGUCGUCGGAGGGAGUUCUGGGUUCGGUGAGAUAGAGGGCGAGUGAUGGGGGCGAAAUUCGAGAGAGUGGAGGGAGAGCCGAGGGUGGCGCGGCUUGUCGCCGCUGCUUCCCCGGCGAGUCUCCGCGGCGGCGGACUUCUGACGUGAAGAGAGAGGUGAUGGGCGUCUGUUUGAGGGAGAUAGGAGAGUAGAGGAGAGGGAGAGGGUUGUCGGGGGCGGCGGCGUGGCCGGCGACGCCUACCGUCGCCGGAGAUGGGAAGAAGGGGGAGGGGGAGUGUUGUGCAGCGCAGCUGCUGCGUUGUGGGUGUGUGCGUGUGUUGUGUGUGUUAUGUAUGUGUGGGUGUGUUAAAUGAAGAUGGAUUUAGGGCUGGGCCCAAAGAUAAGAUGGGCUGCCUUUUUUUUAGGAAGUGGGCCGAUUUUAAUUAUGUUUGGCCUCUGUUUUAUGUUAAAGAGUUGGGCUGCUAUUAUAUUAGAUUUAAAUUAGGAUUUCACUAUUUAAUGUUCAAUUAGUUUAUUAAUUAGACCUUAUACUUGGGUUGACUUUUAUUCAAAAUUUAGAUAAUAUAAUAUUAAUAUUGCAUAUUUUAAGUAUUACUUAUUAUAUGUUUAAAGCAUGAAUGAUUCACUUGCACAUGCAAUAAAAGUAUUUAUGAUUUAAUUGGAUCCAAUUAAUAAAGAAAAAGAGUAAGGAUAUUGUUGGUGUCCUUAACUCAAAAAUUUUAGUUUUCAAUAUUUAUUCAUUAAAUUUUAAAACCCGGCUAAGUGAAUUAUAGAAUUUAAGCACUUUACUAUGACUUAAGAUUUAGAUUCUAGGAGACCUAUUAAGAGUAUAGAUUUCUUGUAGGCUUGUGGAUCGUGAGGAUUAGCACUUUUCGAUUCAGAGAUAAGAUUAACGACAGGCAUUGCCUAUACAGGUGGGCUUAUUUUCCAAAUGUAUAAUUGAGUUAUUAAGCUCUAAAUGUUUCAUGAAUUGAAACUGUUUAUCCAAUAAAUAUUUUUGUGCCUCUUAUGUUUAAGGCUCGCAAUUCAUGAUCGAUCGAGGUUCUCUUAUGACCUAACACGUUGUUUGAGAAUUUGUACACUUGUUAGUUGUUUCGGUGGGUUGAUCUCCAUCGGGCACUAAUUCAUGUAGAGGCGUUAUAAGGGUGCUGCUGGAUGUGUUCCGGAGCAUGUAUCAUGUAAGGCCUGCCUGGGUAGCGUCCCGAGGUCAAUUCAACUUGUCUGAGUUACGUCCUCAGGGCAAGUGUCAUGGGAGAAAGCGAUACGCGGUGGCUAAAAGGUCCGGUAUCACAGCGAGUAACUAAACAGAGUGUGACAAUGGCGCGCUAAUAAAAUGAAAUUUUAACAUGCUUAGAAGUCUUUUUUUUUAAAACCUUCUAAGUUAUGUCAUGAAUGAUUGGAUAAACUGCUCUUACGAAUUGUGAAAUGUUUUAAAAGUUCAGCCCACUAAGUACAUUAGUACUUAGCCCAAUAUUUUCAAAUGUUUUCAGGUUGAUGGUGGUGUUGACGGGGAGAGCUGAGGCUAGGGUUCAACUC
RNAcentral lists this long non-coding RNA (2514 nucleotides) under Salvia miltiorrhiza (redroot sage). RNAcentral describes it as "long non-coding RNA (SMIL_LNC007661)". Lineage: Eukaryota; Viridiplantae; Streptophyta; Magnoliopsida; Lamiales; Lamiaceae. The record is from RNAcentral.